UAAUGGGGGAGGUCUAACCAUGCAAGUCGAGGGGUAGAAAGAGCUUGCUUUUUUGAGACCGGCGCACGGGUGAGUAACGCGUAUGCAACCUACCUUAUACAGGGGAAUAGCCCGAAGAAAUUCGGAUUAAUGCUCCAUGGUUUAUCGAUAUGGCAUCGUAUUGAUAAUAAAGAUUUAUCGGUAUAAGAUGGGCAUGCGUAUCAUUAGCUAGUUGGUGUGGUAACGGCAUACCAAGGCAACGAUGAUUAGGGGUCCUGAGAGGGAGAUCCCCCACACUGGUACUGAGACACGGACCAGACUCCUACGGGAGGCAGCAGUGAGGAAUAUUGGUCAAUGGAGGCAACUCUGAACCAGCCAUGCCGCGUGCAGGAUGACGGUCCUAUGGAUUGUAAACUGCUUUUGUACAGGAAGAAACCUCCCUACGAGUAGGGACUUGACGGUACUGUAAGAAUAAGGAUCGGCUAACUCCGUGCCAGCAGCCGCGGUAAUACGGAGGAUCCGAGCGUUAUCCGGAAUUAUUGGGUUUAAAGGGUUCGUACGCGGUCAUAUAAGUCAGUGGUGAAAUUUCUUAGCUAACCUAAGACACAGCCAUUGAUACUGUUUGACAUGAAUACUAUGGAAGUAACUAGAAUAUGUACGGUAUCGGGUGAAAUGCUUAGAUCUUGCAUGGGAAUACCCCUUGCAAASGCAGGUGACGACGGGAUCUCCUUUGACGGCCUAUGACCGAAAGAGUGSAGGCGCCGUCUGGACACUUCAUACUCCUGACUCGGAAACCAUACUCAAUGAUGGUUUCGUACUCUAUCGGGAUAUCGCAGCUGUACUCGAAUGCGCUGAAGGUUUAUAACGUCAUCCCAUCCUAGUCUGGAUACCAAACCUCGUUCAUGUAACCUCGUAUAUAAAUCUAAUAGGCCCCCCACAUGAAAGCCUAAGAAUAGUUU
This 938-nucleotide ribosomal RNA is filed under the name Myroides sp. N2. RNAcentral's name for it is "bacterial SSU rRNA". The stretch from base 1 to 759 matches the Rfam family "Bacterial small subunit ribosomal RNA". Lineage: Bacteria; Pseudomonadati; Bacteroidota; Flavobacteriia; Flavobacteriales; Flavobacteriaceae. The record is from RNAcentral.